This 500-nucleotide ribosomal RNA is filed under the name uncultured Glomeromycotina. Its description in RNAcentral is "partial small subunit ribosomal RNA". It matches the Rfam family "Eukaryotic small subunit ribosomal RNA", at positions 591 to 1092 of the family's 1831-position model. Lineage: Eukaryota; Fungi; Glomeromycota. The record is from RNAcentral.
CCAAUAGCGUAUAUUAAAGUUGUUGCAGUUAAAAAGCUCGUAGUUGAAUUUCGGGGUUAGUAGGCUGGUCAUGCCUCUGGUAUGUACUGGUCUCACUGAUUCCUCCUUCCUGAUGAACCGUAAUGCCAUUAAUUUGGUGUUUCGGGGAAUUUGGACUGUUACUUUGAAAAAAUUAGAGUGUUUAAAGCAGGCUAACGCUUGAAUACAUUAGCAUGGAAUAAUGAAAUAGGACGUUCGAUCCUAUUUUGUUGGUUUCUAGGAUUGACGUAAUGAUUAAUAGGGAUAGUUGGGGGCAUUAGUAUUCAAUUGUCAGAGGUGAAAUUCUUGGAUUUAUUGAAGACUAACUACUGCGAAAGCAUUUGCCAAGGAUGUUUUCAUUAAUCAAGAACGAAAGUUAGGGGAUCGAAGACGAUCAGAUACCGUCGUAGUCUUAACCAUAAACUAUGCCGACUAGGGAUCGGAUGAUGUUAAUUUUUUAAUGACUCAUUCGGCGCCUUACG